RNAcentral lists this ribosomal RNA (460 nucleotides) under uncultured bacterium. RNAcentral's name for it is "partial 16S ribosomal RNA". It matches the Rfam family "Bacterial small subunit ribosomal RNA", at positions 338 to 795 of the family's 1533-position model. The record is from RNAcentral.
CCUACGGGAGGCAGCAGUGAGGAAUAUUGGUCAAUGGGAGCGAUCCUGAACCAGCCAAGCCGCGUGAAGGAUGACUGCCCUACGGGUUGUAAACUUCUUUUAUCAAGGAAUAAAGUGAGGCACGUGUGCCUUUUUGUGUGUACUUUAUGAAUAAGGAUCGGCUAACUCCGUGCCAGCAGCCGCGGUAAUACGGAGGAUCCGAGCGUUAUCCGGAUUUAUUGGGUUUAAAGGGUGCGUAGAUGGGUUGUUAAGUCAGUGGUGAAAGUGUGGGGCUCAACCGUAGAAGUGCAAUUGAUACUGGCAGUGUUGAGUAGAGUUGAGGUAGGCGGAAUUCGUGGUGUAGCGGUGAAAUGCUUAGAUAUCACGAAGAACUCCGAUUGCGAAGGCAGCUUACUAGACUGACACUGACAUUGAUGCUCGAAAGUGUGGGUAUCAAACAGGAUUAGAUACCCGGGGAGUU